UACGGAGGGGGCUAGCGUUGUUCGGAAUUACUGGGCGUAAAGCGCACGUAGGCGGCUUUGUAAGUUAGAGGUGAAAGCCCGGGGCUCAACUCCGGAACUGCCUUUAAGACUGCAUCGCUAGAACGUCGGAGAGGUAAGUGGAAUUCCGAGUGUAGAGGUGAAAUUCGUAGAUAUUCGGAAGAACACCAGUGGCGAAGGCGACUUACUGGACGACUGUUGACGCUGAGGUGCGAAAGCGUGGGGAGCAAACAGG
RNAcentral lists this ribosomal RNA (253 nucleotides) under uncultured bacterium. RNAcentral describes it as "partial 16S ribosomal RNA". It matches the Rfam family "Bacterial small subunit ribosomal RNA", at positions 524 to 776 of the family's 1533-position model. The record is from RNAcentral.